This 445-nucleotide ribosomal RNA is filed under the name uncultured bacterium. Its description in RNAcentral is "partial 16S ribosomal RNA". It matches the Rfam family "Bacterial small subunit ribosomal RNA", at positions 354 to 796 of the family's 1533-position model. The record is from RNAcentral.
GUGAGGAAUAUUGGUCAAUGGGCGCAAGCCUGAUCCAGCCAUGCCGCGUGCAGGAAGACGCAUCUAUGGUGUGUAAACUGCUUUUGUACGGGAAGAAACUCUCCCUCGUGAGGGAGCUUGACGGUACCGUAAGAAUAAGGAUCGGCUAACUCCGUGCCAGCAGCCGCGGUAAUACGGAGGAUCCAAGUGUUAUCCGGAAUCAUUGGGUUUAAAGGGUCCGUAGGCGGUUUAAUAAGUCAGUGGUGAAAGCCCAUCGCUCAACGAUGGAACGGCCAUUGAUACUGUUAGACUUGAAUUACAAGGAAGUAACUAGAAUAUGUAGUGUAGCGGUGAAAUGCUUAGAUAUUACAUGGAAUACCAAUUGCGAAGGCAGGUUACUACUUGUGGAUUGACGCUGAUGGACGAAAGCGUGGGGAGCGAACAGGAUUAGAAACCCUUGUAGUCC